RNAcentral lists this ribosomal RNA (397 nucleotides) under uncultured bacterium. Its description in RNAcentral is "partial 16S ribosomal RNA". It matches the Rfam family "Bacterial small subunit ribosomal RNA", at positions 523 to 918 of the family's 1533-position model. The record is from RNAcentral.
AUACGUAGGGGGCGAGCGUUGUCCGGAAUGAUUGGGCGUAAAGGGCGCGUAGGCGGCCCGGUAAGUCUGGAGUGAAAGUCCUGUUUUUAAGAUGGGAAUUGCUUUGGAUACUGUCGGGCUUGAGUGCAGGAGAGGUAAGUGGAAUUCCCAGUGUAGCGGUGAAAUGCGUAGAGAUUGGGAGGAACACCAGUGGCGAAGGCGACUUACUGGACUGCAACUGACGCUGAGGCGCGAGAGUGUGGGGAGCAAACAGGAUUAGAUACCCUGGUAGUCCACACUGUAAACGAUGAAUGCUAGGUGUAGGGGGUAUCGACCCCUUCUGUGCCGCAGUCAACACAAUAAGCAUUCCGCCUGGGGAGUACGGCCGCAAGGUUGAAACUCAAAGGAAUUGACGGGG